RNAcentral lists this ribosomal RNA (468 nucleotides) under uncultured bacterium. RNAcentral describes it as "partial 16S ribosomal RNA". It matches the Rfam family "Bacterial small subunit ribosomal RNA", at positions 28 to 507 of the family's 1533-position model. The record is from RNAcentral.
GACGAACGCUGGCGGCGUGCUUAACACAUGCAAGUCGAACGGAAAGGCCCUGCUUUUGUGGGGUGCUCGAGUGGCGAACGGGUGAGUAACCCGUGAGUAACCUGCCCUUGACUUUGGGAUAACUUCAGGCAACUGGGGCUAAUACCGGAUAGGAGCUCCUGCUGCAUGGUGGGGGUUGGAAAGUUUCGGCGGUUGGGGAUGGACUCGCGGCUUAUCAGCUUGUUGGUGGGGUAGUGGCUUACCAAGGCUUUGACGGGUAGCCGGCCUGGGAGGGUGACCGGCCACAUUGGGACUGAGAUACGGACCAGACUCCUACGGGAGGCAGCAGUGGGGAAUAUUGCACAAUGGGCGGAAGCCUGAUGCAGCAACGCCGCGUGCGGGAUGACGGCCUUCGGGUUGUAAACCGCUUUCGCCUGUGACGAAGCGUGAGUGACGGUAAUGGGUAAAGAAGCACCGGCUAACUACGUG